This 295-nucleotide unclassified non-coding RNA is filed under the name Hevea brasiliensis (rubber tree). Lineage: Eukaryota; Viridiplantae; Streptophyta; Magnoliopsida; Malpighiales; Euphorbiaceae. The record is from RNAcentral.
UAAAACUAUAGCUACCAUGUCUGAUAGGUAUCGAAUUUUCAUUUUUUUCUUCAAAUAAAUGGAAUUUGUUUUCUGAUUUUAAUUAUUUAAGCAGGAUCGCAGUUUAUGGUGUUGCGUUUGAUUGGUUUGUUUUUGGAUCGUGGGUUAAGCUAUUGAAGGAAAGGGGUUGAUUGAGUUUUAAAUAUUGCGAGUUAAUGUAAUUUAAAUGACCGUGCCUGGUGCACUGCUUUCUGUUCUUCUGAGUUUAAAAACACAAAUCUGAGCAUUCCAUUGAUUUAUUGUUGCAAACUCAGAA